GACGAACGCUGGCGGCGUGCUUAACACAUGCAAGUCGAACGGUGAAGGGAUCAGCUUGCUGGUUCUGGAUGAGUGGCGAACGGGUGAGUAACACGUGAGUAACCUGCCCCCUUCUUCUGGAUAACCGCAUGAAAGUGUGGCUAAUACGGGAUAUUCUGCGCCUGCUGCAUGGUGGGUGUGGGAAAGAUAUUGUUUCGGUGGGGGAUGGGCUCGCGGCCUAUCAGCUUGUUGGUGGGGUGAUGGCCUACCAAGGCGGUGACGGGUAGCCGGCCUGAGAGGGUGGACGGUCACACUGGGACGGAGACACGGCCCAGACUCCUACGGGAGGCAGCAGUGGGGAAUAUUGCACAAUGGGCGCAAGCCUGAUGCAGCGACGCCGCGUGAGGGAUGGAGGCCUUCGGGUUGUGAACCUCUUUCGCCAGUGAAGCAGGCCUGUCCCUUGUGGGUGGGUUGACGGUAGCUGGAUAAGAAGCGCCGGCUAACUACGUG
This 489-nucleotide ribosomal RNA is filed under the name uncultured bacterium. RNAcentral's name for it is "partial 16S ribosomal RNA". It matches the Rfam family "Bacterial small subunit ribosomal RNA", at positions 28 to 507 of the family's 1533-position model. The record is from RNAcentral.